GAUGAACGCUGGCGGCGUGCUUAACACAUGCAAGUCGAACGAUGAAGCCCAGCUUGCUGGGUGGAUUAGUGGCGAACGGGUGAGUAACACGUGAGUAACCUGCCCUUAACUCUGGGAUAAGCCUGGGAAACUGGGUCUAAUACCGGAUAGGAGCGUCCACCGCAUGGUGGGUGUUGGAAAGAUUUAUCGGUUUUGGAUGGACUCGCGGCCUAUCAGCUUGUUGGUGAGGUAAUGGCUCACCAAGGCGACGACGGGUAGCCGGCCUGAGAGGGUGACCGGCCACACUGGGACUGAGACACGGCCCAGACUCCUACGGGAGGCGGCAGUGGGGAAUAUUGCACAAUGGGCGAAAGCCUGAUGCAGCGACGCCGCGUGAGGGAUGACGGCCUUCGGGUUGUAAACCUCUUUCAGUAGGGAAGAAGCGAAAGUGACGGUACCUGCAGAAGAAGCACCGGCUAACUACGUG
RNAcentral lists this ribosomal RNA (466 nucleotides) under uncultured bacterium. RNAcentral's name for it is "partial 16S ribosomal RNA". It matches the Rfam family "Bacterial small subunit ribosomal RNA", at positions 28 to 507 of the family's 1533-position model. The record is from RNAcentral.